GAACCCACCUGACACAAGUUGGGUACUCACUCGAUAUAGAGUGUAGAGCGAACGAGGGGAACUGAAACAUCUAAGUACCCUUAGGAAGAGAAAUCAAUUGAGAUUCCCGUAGUAGUGGCGAGCGAAGUGGGAAGAGCCUGGUAUGAUUUAGCUGUAAUUAUAGUAGAACAAGUUGGGAAGCUUGACGAUAGAGGGUGAUAGUCCCGUAUACGAAAUAAUCACAGUGGAACUAAGCAUACGAACAAGUAGGACGGGGCACGUGGAACCUUGUCUGAAUAUGGGGGGACCAUCCUCCAAGGCUAAAUACUCCUGAAUGACCGAUAGUGAACUAGUACCGUGAGGGAAAGGUGAAAAGAACCCUUAUAAAGGGAGUGAAAUAGAAUCUGAAACCGCUUGCAUACAAGCAGUAGGAGCAUGAUUUAGUCAUGUGACUGCGUACCUUUUGUAUAAUGGGUCAGCGAGUUAUUUUUAGUGGCGAGGAUAACUGAAUAAGGGAUCCGUAGCGAAAGCGAGUUUUAAUAGGGCGACUAGUCGCUAGGAGUAGACCCGAAACCGGCGCGAUCUAUCCAUGGCCAGGUUGAAGAUUAGGUAGUACUAAUUGGAGGACCGAACCCAAUACUGUUGCAAAAGUAUGGGAUGAGCUGUGGAUCGGAGUGAAAGGCUAAUCAAGCACGGAGAUAGCUGGUUCUCCCCGAAAACUAUUUAGGUAGUGCCUCG
This 717-nucleotide ribosomal RNA is filed under the name Francisella tularensis. RNAcentral describes it as "partial 23S ribosomal RNA". It matches the Rfam family "Bacterial large subunit ribosomal RNA", at positions 124 to 884 of the family's 2925-position model. Lineage: Bacteria; Pseudomonadati; Pseudomonadota; Gammaproteobacteria; Thiotrichales; Francisellaceae. The record is from RNAcentral.